UACGAAGGGGGCUAGCGUUGCUCGGAAUUACUGGGCGUAAAGGGUGCGUAGGUGGUUGUUUAAGUCUGUCGUGAAAUCCCCGGGCUCAACCUGGGAAUGGCGAUGGAUACUGGGCAGCUAGAGUGUGUCAGAGGAUGGUGGAAUUCCCGGUGUAGCGGUGAAAUGCGUAGAGAUCGGGAGGAACAUCAGUGGCGAAGGCGGCCAUCUGGGACAACACUGACGCUGAAGCACGAAAGCGUGGGGAGCAAACAGG
Molecule: ribosomal RNA, 253 nt
Filed under: uncultured bacterium
Lineage: Bacteria
Description: partial 16S ribosomal RNA
Rfam family: Bacterial small subunit ribosomal RNA
Source: RNAcentral